RNAcentral lists this ribosomal RNA (486 nucleotides) under uncultured bacterium. Its description in RNAcentral is "partial 16S ribosomal RNA". It matches the Rfam family "Bacterial small subunit ribosomal RNA", at positions 28 to 507 of the family's 1533-position model. The record is from RNAcentral.
GAUGAACGCUGGCGGCGUGCCUAAUACAUGCAAGUCGAACGCUGGAAAUCUAGCUUGCUAGAUUGAAGGAGUGGCGAACGGGUGAGUAAUACAUAAGCAACCUACCCACGAAGACUGGGAUAAUCUCUGGAAACGGGGACUAAUACCGGAUAGGUAAUCGGAAGGCAUCUUCUGAUUAUUAACGGUUAAAAACACUGGUGGAUGGGCUUAUGGCGCAUUAGUUAGUUGGUGAGGUAACGGCCCACCAAGACGAUGAUGCGUAGCCGGCCUGAGAGGGUGAACGGCCACAUUGGGACUGAGACACGGCCCAGAAUGCUACGGGAGGCAGCAGUAGGGAAUGUUCGGCAAUGGGGGAAACCCUGACCGAGCAACGCCGCGUGAGUGAAGACGGCCUUCGGGUUGUAAAGCUCUGUUGUAAGGGAAGAACGGUAGAUAGAGAAUAUCUAAAUGACGGUACCUGACCAGAAAGCCACGGCUAACUACGUG